Molecule: ribosomal RNA, 822 nt
Filed under: Enterococcus faecium
Lineage: Bacteria; Bacillati; Bacillota; Bacilli; Lactobacillales; Enterococcaceae
Description: bacterial SSU rRNA
Rfam family: Bacterial small subunit ribosomal RNA
Source: RNAcentral
UGCAGUCGUACGCUUCUUUUUCCACCGGAGCUUGCUCCACCGGAAAAGAAGAGUGGCGAACGGGUGAGUAACACGUGGGUAACCUGCCCAUCAGAAGGGGAUAACACUUGGAAACAGGUGCUAAUACCGUAUAACAAUCGAAACCGCAUGGUUUUGAUUUGAAAGGCGCUUUCGGGUGUCGCUGAUGGAUGGACCCGCGGUGCAUUAGCUAGUUGGUGAGGUAACGGCUCACCAAGGCCACGAUGCAUAGCCGACCUGAGAGGGUGAUCGGCCACAUUGGGACUGAGACACGGCCCAAACUCCUACGGGAGGCAGCAGUAGGGAAUCUUCGGCAAUGGACGAAAGUCUGACCGAGCAACGCCGCGUGAGUGAAGAAGGUUUUCGGAUCGUAAAACUCUGUUGUUAGAGAAGAACAAGGAUGAGAGUAACUGUUCAUCCCUUGACGGUAUCUAACCAGAAAGCCACGGCUAACUACGUGCCAGCAGCCGCGGUAAUACGUAGGUGGCAAGCGUUGUCCGGAUUUAUUGGGCGUAAAGCGAGCGCAGGCGGUUUCUUAAGUCUGAUGUGAAAGCCCCCGGCUCAACCGGGGAGGGUCAUUGGAAACUGGGAGACUUGAGUGCAGAAGAGGAGAGUGGAAUUCCAUGUGUAGCGGUGAAAUGCGUAGAUAUAUGGAGGAACACCAGUGGCGAAGGCGGCUCUCUGGUCUGUAACUGACGCUGAGGCUCGAAAGCGUGGGGAGCAAACAGGAUUAGAUACCCUGGUAGUCCACGCCGUAACGAUGAGUGCUAAGUGUUGGAGGGUUUCCGCCCUUCAGUGCUGCAC